This 327-nucleotide unclassified non-coding RNA is filed under the name soil metagenome. RNAcentral describes it as "partial contains 5.8S ribosomal RNA, internal transcribed spacer 2, and large subunit ribosomal RNA". The stretch from base 1 to 120 matches the Rfam family "5.8S ribosomal RNA", at positions 35 to 154 of the family's 154-position model. The record is from RNAcentral.
GAUGAAGAACGUAGCGAAAUGCGAUAAGUAAUGCGAAUUGCAGAAUUCAGUGAGUCAUCGAAUCUUUGAACGCACAUUGCGCCCCUUGGUAUUCCGGGGGGCAUGCCUGUUCGAGCGUCAUUAUAACCCCUCAAGCUCAGCUUGGUGUUGGGGCCUGCCGACUGGCAGCCCUUAAAAUCAGUGGCGGCGCCAUCUGGCUCUAAGCGUAGUAAUUUCUCUCGCUAUAGAGUCCCGGUGGAUGCUUGCCAGCAACCCCCAACUUUCUAUGGUUGACCUCGGAUCAGGUAGGGAUACCCGCUGAACUUAAGCAUAUCAAUAAGCGGAGGA